UUUUUUUUCUUCGUUUUUUCAGUUUGUCAUCUCUGGGUCCGUGGCAAUCGCCGCACACAAGAGAUCCAGUUCUACUCUGAUCAAAGCCACGCUGGCCAUGAGUGUGAUCUGUGCUCUGCUGGCUGCUGCAGGAACCGGCUACUUCAGUUGGGAGCUCAGCAAUAGACCAGGGGAGAAUCCUUGUAGCAGCGGAGAUUACUGGUCAUGUUCGUACAUGAUAUGGAGAUUUAAUAGUUUGAUGGAUGGAUUGAGGGGUCUCCUGCUGGUGCUGUGUUUUCUUGAACUGUGCGUGU
Sinocyclocheilus grahami is the source of this 293-nucleotide long non-coding RNA. RefSeq lists it as uncharacterized. The record is from RefSeq and is a predicted model, not a curated record. The transcript is spliced from 3 exons. Lineage: Eukaryota; Metazoa; Chordata; Actinopteri; Cypriniformes; Cyprinidae.